GACGAACGUUGGCGGCGUGCUUAAUACAUGCAAGUCAACUGAAGCAGUGUUAGCAAUAUCGCUGUGGAGGUGGCGCACGGGUGAGUAACACGUAGGUAAUCUGCCUUCAGGUCUGGCAUAACUCCGGGAAACCGGGGCUAAUAGCAGAUGAUGCAGCGGCUCGACAUCGAGACAGUUGUUAAAGCUAUGGCGCCUGAAGAUGAGCCUGCGUCUGAUUAGCUAGUUGGCGGGGUAACGGCCCACCAAGGCAACGAUCAGUAGCUGGUCUGAGAGGAUGAUCAGCCACACUGGAACUGAGACACGGUCCAGACUCCUACGGGAGGCAGCAGUAAGGAAUAUUGCUCAAUGGGAGAAAUCCUGAAGCAGCAACGCCGCGUGAGGGACGAAGGGCUUUUGCUUGUAAACCUCUGUAGUGAGAGAAAAAAAUCCCAAUCUUUGGGACAUGAUGGUAUCUCAAAAGUAAGCCCCGGCUAACUACGUG
Molecule: ribosomal RNA, 481 nt
Filed under: uncultured bacterium
Lineage: Bacteria
Description: partial 16S ribosomal RNA
Rfam family: Bacterial small subunit ribosomal RNA
Source: RNAcentral